This 1854-nucleotide ribosomal RNA is filed under the name Triticum aestivum (bread wheat). RNAcentral describes it as "partial small subunit ribosomal RNA". The record is from RNAcentral. Lineage: Eukaryota; Viridiplantae; Streptophyta; Magnoliopsida; Poales; Poaceae.
AUGGCGCUACGCAGAGCGGCCUCCCUCGUCCUCAGGCAGCGCCUCCGGACCCUCGCCCCCGCUCCCGCGCCCAAGCCCCUAAACCCUCUGCUCCCGCAUCCCCGCCGCCACUACUCCCCGCGGCCGCCGCCCGCGCUCCCCGCGUCCGCCCGCGUCCUCGCGGAGGCGGCCGAGGAAGCGUUCGAGGCGGCCUCCACCACCACCGACCUCUUCGCCGCCUUCUCCCGCCUCGAGAACGCCGUCUCGCCCACCGACAAGCGGCUCGCCCUCGCCUGCCUCAAGCUCGGCCAGCACCUCGACUCCUCGGCCUCCGCCGACCCCUCCCGCGUCCUCGAGCUCGCGCUCCGCUCCGUCGGGAUCCUCGAGGCCGGGGGCGCCAGGUCCUCCGGGGCGUCGUCGGACUCCGACGCCGUCUCGCUCGCCAUGGCCCUCCACCUCGCCGGCUCCGCCUCCCUCGAUCUCACCCGCUUCCACGAUGCCCUCUCCUUCCUCUCCCGCUCCCUCCGCCUCCUCACCCCGCUUCUCCCGGCUAAAGACGCCGCCGUUGGGGAUGAGGGCGGCGACUCCGAUGCCGAAGGGUUCGACGUGAGGCCCGUGGCCCACGCUGUGCGGCUGCAGCUCGCCAACGUGAAGACGGCGCUGGGGAGGCGGGAGGAGGCGCUCGCCGACCUGCGCGCCAGCGUGGAGCUCAAGGAGUCCAUCCUGCCGCCGGGCAGCCGGGAGCUCGGCGCGGCCUACCGGGACCUGGCGGAGGCGCACGCCUCCGUGCUUGACUUCAAGCAGGCGCUGCCCUUCUGCCAGAAGGCGCUGGAGCUGCACGAGUCGACGCUGGGCAAGAACUCGGUGGAGCUUGCGCACGACAGGCGGCUGCUCGGUGUGAUAUACACUGGCCUGGAGCAGCACGAACAGGCGCUCGAGCAGAAUGAGAUGUCCCAGAAAGUGAUGAAGAAGUGGGGCGUGGCCGGCGCCGAUCUCAUUCAUGCUGAGAUUGACGCGGCAAACAUCAAGAUUGCGAUGGGGAAGUUUGAUGAGGCCAUAAGGGUGCUAAAGGCUGUCGCUAAGAAGGUGGAGAAGGACAGCGAUGCGCGAGCUCUAGUGUUCAUAUCGAUGGCCAAGGCGCUCGCCAACCAGGAGAAGGUCGGGCACACCAAGAGGUGCUUGGAGAUCGCUUGCGACAUUCUAGAAAAGAAGGAAGUGUCUGAACCUGACAAGGUGGCCGAAGCGUAUCUUGAAGUGUCCUCACUGUACGAGAUGGUGAACGAAUUUGACAAGGCAAUAUCUUUGAUGAAGAGGAGUUUGGGGAUGCUCGAGAGGAUCCCUCAAUCACAACACUUGGAGGGGAAUGUCGCAGCUAAGAUUGGAUGGUUAUUGCUUCUGACAGGGAAGGUGACCGAGUCCGUCCCAUAUUUGGAGGAUGCAGUGGAGAGGAUGAAAGAAAGUUUUGGGCCGAAGCAUUAUGGGGUAGGGUAUGUGUAUAACAACCUGGGGGCUGCGUACAUGGAGAUGGACCGCCCCCAGUCUGCUGCACAGAUGUUUGCACUGGCAAAGGAAGUCAUGGAUGUUUCCUUAGGGCCUCACCAUUCAGAUACAAUUGAGACCUGCCAGAGCCUCGCCAAUGCAUACAACACGAUGGGAAGCUAUGCCCUGGCUAUGGAGUUCCAAAAGCGAGUGAUUGAUUCAUGGCGAAACCAUGGUCCCAGUGGUGCGGACGAGCUCAGGGAAGCCAUUCGUCUCUACGAGCAGAUCAAGAUAAAGGCCCUAGCAUUCAUGUCACCUGGUGUUGAAGCAAUUGCGUUGCCUGAACCUCAGGAACAGGAAGUCGAUUCUGAUCCGGCGAAAAUCGCACAACAGUAA